CACCUCCACCACCACCAUACUACUACCACUCUCCUCCUCCUCCAGUCAAAUCACCACCGCCACCGUACUACUACCACUCCCCGCCUCCUCCGGUGAAAUCCCCACCACCACCAUAUUACUACCACUCACCACCUCCACCGGUGAAAUCUCCACCACCACCAUACUAUUACCACUCACCACCUCCUCCGGUGAAGUCUCCUCCACCACCAUACUACUAUCACUCUCCACCACCACCGGUGAAAUCUCCUCCUCCUUACUAUUAUCAUUCUCCACCUCCUCCGGUGAAAUCUCCUCCACCACCGUACUACUACCAUUCUCCACCUCCUCCAGUCAAGUCUCCACCACCACCGUACUACUAUCAUUCACCACCUCCUCCGGUGAAAUCUCCACCACCACCAUACUAUUACCACUCACCACCCCCACCUGUGAAAUCUCCUCCUCCACCAUACUACUAUCACUCACCUCCUCCUCCGGUGAAAUCUCCACCACCACCAUACUAUUACCAUUCACCACCCCCUCCAGUCAAAUCUCCUCCUCCACCAUACUACUACCACUCACCACCUCCUCCAGUGAAAUCUCCACCACCACCAUACUAUUACAACUCUCCACCACCACCGGUGAAAUCUCCUCCACCUCCAGUCUACAUCUACGCUUCUCCCCCACCUCCCACCCAUUACUAGGCUCAUCAAAUUCAACCAAAUUUCCCCAUUAUUCAAG
Molecule: long non-coding RNA, 717 nt
Filed under: Eutrema salsugineum
Lineage: Eukaryota; Viridiplantae; Streptophyta; Magnoliopsida; Brassicales; Brassicaceae
Description: long non-coding RNA (ESAL_LNC001003)
Source: RNAcentral